Astyanax mexicanus (Mexican tetra) is the source of this 364-nucleotide long non-coding RNA. RefSeq lists it as uncharacterized. The record is from RefSeq and is a predicted model, not a curated record. Lineage: Eukaryota; Metazoa; Chordata; Actinopteri; Characiformes; Acestrorhamphidae. The transcript has 3 exons.
AAGGCGGCCAAGCGCAGGUCCUGAAACCGCUCAUUGCUGUUUUUCCUCCCUUUUCGAGAUCAAUGGCGGCAUAAAUUUAGUUUCAAUGGCAAGAAUAAUUUAAAACAGAUCUAUAAAUGAUAGUGUCCGUUCCCCAGAGAGCUGGAGCCUCUUACCUUACCUCAUACCUUAGCCUGCAGACAGGCAUUACUCUGGAGCUCCCGCUGGUUAACGAGUGCAGAUCACCCCACAACCCUGCAAAACCCAAUGCUGGUGGUGUUUAUUUACCUAACUACAGCAGGGUCACAGUGGGUCUGGAGCAUAUCCAGGAUCUUUAGGCACAAGAAAGGACUUCCCCGUGGACAGGGCUCCAAUUCAUUACAAG